This 580-nucleotide ribosomal RNA is filed under the name Salmonella enterica subsp. enterica serovar Typhimurium. RNAcentral describes it as "partial 23S ribosomal RNA". It matches the Rfam family "Bacterial large subunit ribosomal RNA", at positions 777 to 1269 of the family's 2925-position model. Lineage: Bacteria; Pseudomonadati; Pseudomonadota; Gammaproteobacteria; Enterobacterales; Enterobacteriaceae. The record is from RNAcentral.
AACCGACUAAUGUUGAAAAAUUAGCGGAUGACCUGUGGCUGGGGGUGAAAGGCCAAUCAAACCGGGAGAUAGCUGGUUCUCCCCGAAAGCUAUUUAGGUAGCGCCUCGUGAAUUCAUCUCCGGGGGUAGAGCACUGUUUCGGCUAGGGGGCCAUCCCGGCUUACCAACCCGAUGCAAACUGCGAAUACCGGAGAAUGUUAUCACGGGAGACACACGGCGGGUGCUAACGUCCGUCGUGAAGAGGGAAACAACCCAGACCGCCAGCUAAGGUCCCAAAGUCAUGGUUAAGUGGGAAACGAUGUGGGAAGGCCCAGACAGCCAGGAUGUUGGCUUAGAAGCAGCCAUCAUUUAAAGAAAGCGUAAUAGCUCACUGGUCGAGUCGGCCUGCGCGGAAGAUGUAACGGGGCUAAACCAUGCACCGAAGCUGCGGCAGCGAACGUAUCACCCAAGACAACUUUACGGAGUUGACGAUUGACGGAGCGAAGCGACGUCAAAGCGUUCAUUAAAGUCGAGUUGGCUUAGGGAUACGUUCGUUGGGUAGGGGAGCGUUCUGUAAGCCUGUGAAGGUGUGUCGUGAGGC